Molecule: non-coding RNA, 29 nt
Filed under: Macaca fascicularis (crab-eating macaque)
Lineage: Eukaryota; Metazoa; Chordata; Mammalia; Primates; Cercopithecidae
Also listed under: 1 other name
Source: RNAcentral
UGGAUGAUGAUGAUGCAGAGGUUCUACUC